Molecule: unclassified non-coding RNA, 306 nt
Filed under: plant metagenome
Description: partial contains 5.8S ribosomal RNA, internal transcribed spacer 2, and large subunit ribosomal RNA
Rfam family: 5.8S ribosomal RNA (bases 1-105)
Source: RNAcentral
GAAAUGCGAUAAGUAGUGUGAAUUGCAGAAUUCAGUGAAUCAUCGAAUCUUUGAACGCACAUUGCGCCCCUUGGUAUUCCAUGGGGCAUGCCUGUUCGAGCGUCAUCUACACCCUCAAGCUCUGCUUGGUGUUGGGCGUCUUUGUCCCGCCUCCGCGCGCGGACUCGCCCCAAAUUCAUUGGCAGCGGUCCUUGCCUCCUCUCGCGCAGCACAUUGCGCUUCUCGAGGUGUUGCGGCCCGCGUCCAGAAAGCAAUCGUUACCGUCUUUGACCUCGGAUCAGGUAGGGAUACGCGCUGAACUUAAGC